This 1518-nucleotide long non-coding RNA is filed under the name Homo sapiens (human). RNAcentral's name for it is "long non-coding RNA NONHSAT171018.1". The record is from RNAcentral. Lineage: Eukaryota; Metazoa; Chordata; Mammalia; Primates; Hominidae.
GGCCACCCUCAAAGAAGCCCCACCCAGGGGUCUGUCCUUGGCCUUUCUCCCCUCCCUUGCCUCCACCCUGGGAGACAGACCUCUCCCACCCCUAGCCUGCCCCUCCUCCUGCAUCCUCAAGCCCCCCACCCUCUGGCUAUUGAGGUCCAGACCACCUCCAGGAUGUCCCUUGAGAUGCCCUCCCUUCUCUCUCCCUUGUCCUCAGCCCAGAUGCUGAAAGGGGCACCAGCUUUCACCCCUCCUGAUUUCAUCCAGUCUCAAGCCGUUAGAUGCUGUCUGUACUGUCCACACCCAAACAGACGCCUGACUGUCCUCCCUCCCCCAGCCAGGCCUCUCCUCAGCCGCCCACAUGACACUCCACUUGGAUGUAUAACAAGCAUCUCAGCCGUUCCAGCUCCCGCUCCCCACAGCACCCCAACCCGCUUCCCCCACCACCGCAUUCUCCCCACCCCCGGCUGGCAGCUUUCUCCUUCCUGAUGCUCAGACCAAAAGCCUUCGAGGCAUCCCAGACCCCUCUCCCUCUCCCAUCCACUGGCAAACCCUACUGCUCUAAUCUCAAAGGAGACCCAGAGUCAGACUGCCGCCCCCACCCUGGGCCAGGCCCCCAUCAUUUCUCAUCUGGAUCAUUGCAGGAGCUUCCUAAUUGGUCUCCCUGCUCCCACCUUUUCACUCCUGCCCCCAGGUGUUCCCAGCACAGUGGCCAGAGCCGUCCUGUUCAGAUAUGUCACUGGAUCGCACCUCUCCAGUUGACGCUUCCCAAUGGCUCCUGUGUCGCUCUCAGGAAAAGCCGGGGAAUUAUUGCGUGCCCUGGCCUCCUUGCCUGCAUCCUCUGCUCUCCUCCCUGCACCCUCCUCUCUCUGGCUGCACUGCAGAGGCCUCCCCUGGGGUAUCAGUUGAGGCAGGCUGGGGUGUGCUGUGGUGACCAUCCCUACUCACUGGGCCUUAAAACAGAGAGGGGCAUUUCUCAUUCCAGCUUCACGUCAUGAGGGUCAGCAGGGAGGGCUACGCUGCAUCGUCCUCUCUCAUGACCAUGUCGGGGACAUCUGGAGCAUCACCUGCUUCCAGGCAGGGUGAAGGGAAUGUGGAAUCACUCGCUGACUCCUGCAUGCUUCAGCUCGGAAGUGGCACGCAUCUCUUCCACUCGUAUCUCACUGGCCAAAGCAGAUUACACAGCUGGGCCUAACCCCAAAUGGAAGAAGUGUAGCCCUUCCCUGUUUCCAGAAGAAGAGACAGGCACUGAUGGACAGGGGUGACAGCCUCCCCGCUGCUGUUCCUCGAACGCGCCAGACACGCCCCAGCCCCGGGCCUUUGCCCUGGCUGUUCCCUCUGCCUGGAGUGCCCUUCCCCAAACACCUGCACAGCUCGCCCCUCACCUUCUUUCAGUCUUUGUUCAAAUGUCACCUUCUUGAUGACGCUUUCCCUGACCACCUCACUUAAAACUUCAGAUGUCUCCUGGACACGGGCUGCCAAUCCCCCUUACCUUUACUUUAGCUUUCCACGGUUCUAACAGAUUACCUA